This 253-nucleotide ribosomal RNA is filed under the name uncultured bacterium. RNAcentral's name for it is "partial 16S ribosomal RNA". It matches the Rfam family "Bacterial small subunit ribosomal RNA", at positions 524 to 776 of the family's 1533-position model. The record is from RNAcentral.
UACGAAGGGGGCUAGCGUUGCUCGGAAUCACUGGGCUUAAAGGGCGCGUAGGCGGGCGAUCAAGUCAGGGGUGAAAUCCUCCGGCUCAACCGGAGAACUGCCUUUGAUACUGGUCAUCUCGAGUGAGGUAGGGGCAUGCGGAACUGAUGGUGGAGCGGUGAAAUGUGUUGAUAUCAUCAGGAACUCCGGUGGCGAAAGCGGCGUGCUGGACCUUUACUGACGCUGAUGCGCGAAAGCCAGGGGAGCGAACGGG